Molecule: transfer RNA, 70 nt
Filed under: Dipodomys ordii (Ord's kangaroo rat)
Lineage: Eukaryota; Metazoa; Chordata; Mammalia; Rodentia; Heteromyidae
Rfam family: tRNA
About the family: Transfer RNA (tRNA) molecules are approximately 80 nucleotides in length. Their secondary structure includes four short double-helical elements and three loops (D, anti-codon, and T loops).
Source: Rfam by way of RNAcentral
GGGGAAGUGGCUCAGUGGUAGAGUGCUUGCCUCGCAUGCAUGAGGCCUUGGGUUUGAUUCCUCAGCACCA